This 253-nucleotide ribosomal RNA is filed under the name uncultured bacterium. RNAcentral describes it as "partial 16S ribosomal RNA". It matches the Rfam family "Bacterial small subunit ribosomal RNA", at positions 524 to 776 of the family's 1533-position model. The record is from RNAcentral.
UACGAAGGGGGCUAGCGUUGCUCGGAAUUACUGGGCGUAAAGGGCGCGUAGGCGGACAGUUUAGUCAGAGGUAAAAGCCCAGGGCUCAACCUUGGAACUGCCUUUGAUACUGGCUGUCUUGAGUUCGGGAGAGGUGAGUGGAAUGCCGAGUGUAGAGGUGAAAUUCGUAGAUAUUCGGCGGAACACCAGUGGCGAAGGCGACUCACUGGCCCGAUACUGACGCUGAGGCGCGAAGGCGUGGGGAGCGAACGGG